Molecule: ribosomal RNA, 497 nt
Filed under: uncultured bacterium
Lineage: Bacteria
Description: partial 16S ribosomal RNA
Rfam family: Bacterial small subunit ribosomal RNA
Source: RNAcentral
GAUGAACGCUGGCGGCGUGCCUAAUACAUGCAAGUCGAGCGAACAGACGAGGAGCUUGCUCCUCUGACGUCAGCGGCGGACGGGUGAGUAACAUGUGGAUAACCUACCUAUAAGACUGGGCUAACUUCGGGAAACCGGAGCUAAUACCGGAUAAUAUCUUGAACCGCAUGGUUCAAUAGUGACAGACGGUUUUGCUGUCACUUAUAGAUGUAUCCGCGCCGCAUUAGCUAGUUGGUAAGGUAACGGCUUACCAAGGCAACGAUGCGUAGCCGACCUGAGAGGGUGAGCGGCCACGCUGGAGCUGACACACGGCCCAGACACCUACGGGAGGCAGCAGUAGGGAAUCUUCCGCAAAGGGCGAAAGCCUGACGGAGCGACGCCGCGUGAGUGAUGAAGGUCUUCGGAUCGUAAAACUCUGUUAUUGGUGAAGAACAAAUGUGGAAGGAACUAUGCACGUCUUGACGGUACCUAAUCAGAAAGCCACGGCUAACUACGUG